CUCUCUGCCUCUCUCUCUCUCUGCAUAUGAGAUAUCCCACUAGACACAGAUGUCAGUUCAACAUUUAGUUUUGACUCACAUUUGGUUGAGUUGUCAACUAAAGUAAAUUUCACAUGAAAAUAAACCUUCAGACAUAGUUACCAGACCCGGACUCAGGGAUGGCUAACCCUGGAGAUCCCUUGAAUCUCCACCGAGAUUUGAUGCUCUGGAGCCUGGUGUUGUUGUUGCCAAGGAGCUCAGUCAAGACCAGAUUCAGCUGCUGUGCAACGCUGACAUCCUUCCUUCCAUAUAUGGUCUGCCUGUACAAUCACCACCUGGACUGGACACAGCUAGACAAAUGUAUAUUUUUGAGAAGAUUAGGGAGUUUUGCGACGAAGAGGCUAUGUACAUCACAUGCCCUGCACCAAAGUCAAGGGCAGGACAGAAACAGGCUCUCCGAAUAUAGAUUCCCUUGUUUUAUGCGUAGUUCGGAUAGACCAGUUUAUUUACAUAAGUAUUCAGACCCUUUGCUAUGAG
This 516-nucleotide long non-coding RNA is filed under the name Salmo salar (Atlantic salmon). RNAcentral's name for it is "lncRNA (ENSSSAG00000113411.1, ENSSSAG00000119163.1)". The record is from RNAcentral. Lineage: Eukaryota; Metazoa; Chordata; Actinopteri; Salmoniformes; Salmonidae.